RNAcentral lists this ribosomal RNA (391 nucleotides) under uncultured archaeon. Its description in RNAcentral is "partial 16S ribosomal RNA". It matches the Rfam family "Archaeal small subunit ribosomal RNA", at positions 492 to 881 of the family's 1478-position model. The record is from RNAcentral.
GGNGGGANAUUAUUGGGCCUAAAGCAUCCGNUAGCCGGUUCUACAAGUCUUCCGUUAAAUCCACCNGCCUNAACAGNUGGGCUGCGGAGGAUACUAUANAGCUAGGAGGCGGGAGAGGCAAGCGGUACUCAGUGGGUAGGGGUAAAAUCCGUUGAUCCAUUGAAGACCACCAGUGGCGAAGGCGGCUUGCCAGAACGCNCUCGACGGUGAGGGAUGAAAGCUGGGGGAGCAAACCGGAUUAGAUACCCGGGUAGUCCCAGCUGUAAACGAUGCAGACUCGGUGAUGAAUNGGCUUNUUGCCAANUCAGUGCCGCAGGGAAGCCGUUAAGUCUGCCGCCUGGGGAGUACGGUCGCAAGACUGAAACUUAAAGGAAUUGGCGGGGGAGCANAA